Molecule: non-coding RNA, 45 nt
Filed under: Schistosoma haematobium
Lineage: Eukaryota; Metazoa; Platyhelminthes; Trematoda; Strigeidida; Schistosomatidae
Source: RNAcentral
GUCCAGCUGACGAGUCCCAAACAGGACGGAACGCGCGUCCUGGAU